This 844-nucleotide ribosomal RNA is filed under the name uncultured marine bacterium. RNAcentral describes it as "bacterial SSU rRNA". It matches the Rfam family "Bacterial small subunit ribosomal RNA", at positions 56 to 948 of the family's 1533-position model. The record is from RNAcentral.
UGCAAGUCGAACGAAGUAGCAAUACUUAGUGGCAGACGGGUGAGUAACAUGUAGGUAUCUACCCUAUGGCCUGGAAUAACACGAGGAAACUUGUGCUAAUACCGGAUAAGUCUUUACAGAGAAAGCUUUAUGCACCAUUGGAUGAGCCUGCACUUGAUUAGUUUGUUGGUGGGGUAACGGCCUACCAAGACUGUGAUCAAUAGCUGAUUUGAGAGGAUGAUCAGCCACAUUGGGACUGAGACACGGCCCAAACUCCUACGGGAGGCAGCAGUGGGGAAUCUUGCACAAUGGAGGAAACUCUGAUGCAGCGAUGCCGCGUGAGUGAAGAAGGCCCUCGGGUUGUAAAGCUCUUUCGUCGGGGAAGAAAAUGACUGUACCCGAAUAAGAAGGUCCGGCUAACUUCGUGCCAGCGGCCGCGGUAAUACGAAGGGACCUAGCGUAGUUCGGAAUUACUGGGCUUAAAGAGUUCGUAGGUGGUUGAAAAAGUUGGUGGUGAAAUCCCAGAGCUUAACUCUGGAACUGCCAUCAAAACUUUUCAGCUAGAGUAUGAUAGAGGAAAGCAGAAUUUCUAGUGUAGAGGUGAGAUUCGUAGAUAUUAGAAAGAAUACCAAUUGCGAAGGCAGCUUUCUGGAUCAUUACUGACACUGAGGAACGAAAGCAUGGGUAGCGAAGAGGAUUAGAUACCCUCGUAGUCCAUGCCGUAAACGAUGUGUGUUAGACGUUGGAAAUUUAUUUUCAGUGUCGCAGCGAAAGCGAUAAACACACCGCCUGGGGAGUACGACCGCAAGGUUAAAACUCAAAUGAAUUGACGGGGACCCGCACAAGUAGUGAAGCAUGUGGUUUA